GCUAUAGCUGUCUAAUAUAUUCCGGACGUAGACUUGUUGGUAAGGUAGUGGCUUACCAAGGUGAUGACGGGUAACGGGGAAUCAGGGUUCGAUUCCGGAGAGGGAGCCUGAGAAACGGCUACCACUUCCAAGGAAGGCAGCAGGCGCGCAAAUUACCCAAUCCAGACAAUGGGAGGUAGCAACGAGAAAUACCAAGAGCAGCCUUUUGGUUGCUUAUUGGAAUGGACAUAAUGUAAAUACUUUGAUGAGUAACAACUGGAGGGCAAGUCUGGUGCCAGCAGCCGCGGUAAUUCCAGCUCCAGUAGUGUAUAUCAAAAUUGUUGCGUUUAAAAAGCUCGUAGUCGGAUGAUAAGUGCAUCUGAUUUUGCGACCAUCUGCACGGUACUGCCUUCGGGUAGGUCCGGGUGUUGGAAGGCAGAGUUGUGGUGUACUUUUAUCGCAAACUCCAGUUGUGGGAUUAAUUUCUUGUGGCUGGUCGGUUGCGAGGCGUGCCUUGAAUAAAGCAGAGUGCUCAAAGCAAGCGUAACGCUGGAAUGUAAUAGCAUGGAACGAUGAGAAAAGAGUGUCACCUUGGCUGUGUGGGUUGAGCAAUCAAUCUGCGCAGUUGUAUUCAGUUGGUUGGUGCGGUCGGUAACGCGGGCGUGUGCUGUUAACGCAGUGCAUGUUCGAGGUCGCAGGCUAACACUGCGGUGCAGUCUUUCGGGGCUGUGCUGUAGUGGUUCUGAAGUGGGUGAUGGUUAAAAGGGACAUUUGAGGGCGUUAGUACUUGCAUAUUCUGUAGCGAGUCGAUAUGUGAGCCUAUUUUAGACUGCGAUAGCUCAAUUUAUUGUCUAGCCAUAAAUUGAUCAAGAACGAAAGUUGGAGGUUCGAAGACGAUCAGAUACCGUCCUAGUUCCAUACAGUAAACUAUGCCGACUCGGGAUCAGUUCGAAACAGAUUCAGGUUGGUCCCACAGUGAAAACUAAAGUUUUCAGGUUAUGGGGAGAGUACGCUACGCAAGUUUGAAAUUUAAAAGAAUUGACGGAAUGGCACCACAAGGAGUGGAGCCUGCGGCUUAAUUUGACUCAACACGGGGCAACUUACCAGGUCCGGACAUCGGAAGGAUUGACAGACUGACAGAUCUUUCAUGAUUUGAUGAUUGGUGGUGCAUGGCCGUUCUUAGUUGGUGGAGUGAUCUGUCAGGUUGAUUCCGGUAACGAGCGAGACCACGAUGUCUAGUUAAUGGCGACAGUCGCUCUGCGGCAGUCGAUUGUAGACAGACAACCGGAUUAAAGCCGGGGGAAGCGUGGCAAUAACAGGUCUGUGAUGCCCUUCGAUGUUCUGGGCUGCACGCGCGCUACAAUGGCAACGACAGAGAGCGAUAUGGUUGCAUCGAGAGAUGCGACGAAUCAGCAAUCGUUGUCGUGAUUGGGAUUGAGCCUUGUAAGAUUUGCUCAUGAAAGAGGAAUUCCUCGUAAGCGCGAGUCACCAACUGCGUGUUGUAUAUCUUCGCAUGCUAUUAAGCGAGUCGCACUAUACAGCUCACGAUUUCAGCACGCUAAUGCUGCGAGUAGCUAGCGCACUUAUAAUGCACGUUAGCUUACGUAGCAUGCUUAUAGCUAGCACACGUA
This 1610-nucleotide ribosomal RNA is filed under the name Parvicapsula sp. g AC-2020. RNAcentral's name for it is "SSU rRNA". It matches the Rfam family "Eukaryotic small subunit ribosomal RNA", at positions 283 to 1831 of the family's 1831-position model. Lineage: Eukaryota; Metazoa; Cnidaria; Myxozoa; Bivalvulida; Parvicapsulidae. The record is from RNAcentral.